UUAAGUUCUGGUGACGUGGUGUCACAACAAGACCAUUAGUACAAAUCUGAGUCAUCGUACAAAAACUAAACAUUAAAUUAAAUUAAGAGACUUGAUGACUAAUUAUACAUAAUUAAAAAGAUUAGAUCACAUAGCAUAAAAAUAUCUUUUAGUUUUAUCAUGAUGAUAUAUUUAAAUAAAUAUGAAAAAAUUUAUAAUUAUUAUAUUAUACUUU
RNAcentral lists this long non-coding RNA (214 nucleotides) under Lathyrus oleraceus (garden pea). RNAcentral describes it as "Pisum sativum (pea) long non-coding RNA (PSAT_LNC029365)". The record is from RNAcentral. Lineage: Eukaryota; Viridiplantae; Streptophyta; Magnoliopsida; Fabales; Fabaceae.